AUUUUGUUUCGCUUUUUGUGCUUCCUUUUAUGUAUCAGAGUGGGACUUCUGUGUUGUAUUGUGGAUCUUUGUGUGUCUGUCUCUGUUGAUUACUUUCAGGUGUGGUGCUGGAAAGGGUGUGGCUCCCAUUGGACCCAAGCUGAUGGAGGGAGCCUUUAAAAGCACUGUAAGGACCUCAAUCCUAUGAGAAGGGUGUUUUGAUGCAACCUGGUGCCUGUCUGUGUUGUACAUUGAAGUUCUUAGUAGUGUUCUGUGUUCAGGCCCAUUCUAUGUGGUCUAGUUUGUGGUGUUAAUUUUAAAGUGAAGCUGUAAGGAUGAACUGCCAUUUUCUCUUAUGUUUCUCCUGUUUCUGUUAGCCCAGGAAGGUUUGUCAUUGUUUUGCCUUUUCUUUUGCAGGCACCACGGAAGAUGAAGUAUGGCACACAUUAUCAACCACCAUAUUUGGCUACUCUCCCAACAUCAUUAUAUGCAACAGCAGUUUUACAACUCAGAUACAGCAGUGUGGUCCGACCUAAUGGGGAACAGCAUUGGAGGCGUUGCACUUGGUUCUUAAUAGUGUGUUGGUCUCACAUGCAGACAUGCAGGUCUUCCCUUUGCCGUGCUCCGGCGGGCUGCAGCUCUCUCAGAUGA
This 630-nucleotide long non-coding RNA is filed under the name Oryzias sinensis (Chinese medaka). RNAcentral's name for it is "lncRNA (ENSOSIG00000008960.1)". The record is from RNAcentral. Lineage: Eukaryota; Metazoa; Chordata; Actinopteri; Beloniformes; Adrianichthyidae.